GUGCCAGCAGACGCGGUAAUACGUAGGCAGCGAGCGUUGUUCGGAGUUACUGGGCGUAAAGGGUGUGUAGGCGGUUCUCUAAGUUUGGUGUGAAAUCUCCCGGCUUAACCGGGAGGGUGCGCCGAAAACUGGGGGACUAGAGUGCGGGAUGGGAGAGUAGAAUUCCUGGUGUAGCGGUGAAAUGCGUAGAUAUCAGGAGGAAUACCGGUGGUGCAGACGGCCCUCUGGACCGCAACUGACGCUGAGACACGAAAGCGUGGGUAGCAAACAGGAUUAGAUACCCCGGUAGUCC
Molecule: ribosomal RNA, 292 nt
Filed under: uncultured bacterium
Lineage: Bacteria
Description: partial 16S ribosomal RNA
Rfam family: Bacterial small subunit ribosomal RNA
Source: RNAcentral